AGGUGUGAGGUCAUUUGGCUGUGAUGGCUAUCAUACUGAUUGCCAGUAUCAGUUGGGUUGAUGUGGUGGGAAAGGCAAUGUGCUCUCUCCCUCCUGCUGUCCCUCCCAAAACUCUGGGGAAAUGUGGUAUUCCCCAGUAAAGGACCACUCUUGCAUCAAGGGCAUAGAACAAGCUCUGCUGCCCUGCUAGAACCCCCGAACUCUCUCAUAACACACAUUUACCACAUGAGAGUUGCAGGUAGACAAACAAGGCAAACGAAGGAAGCCAGUAGCUUUGGU
Unclassified non-coding RNA from Mus spicilegus (steppe mouse), 279 nucleotides. Its record names the gene 7SK. It matches the Rfam family "7SK RNA". Rfam says of the family: 7SK was discovered as an abundant small nuclear RNA in the mid-70s but a possible function has only recently been suggested. Two independent studies have found that 7SK RNA binds the CDK9/cyclin T complex (known as elongation factor P-TEFb). The record is from Ensembl. NCBI's taxonomy places the organism in Eukaryota, Metazoa, Chordata, Mammalia, Rodentia, Muridae.